This 72-nucleotide transfer RNA is filed under the name Araneus ventricosus. RNAcentral describes it as "tRNA-Phe". The record is from RNAcentral. Lineage: Eukaryota; Metazoa; Arthropoda; Arachnida; Araneae; Araneidae.
UGCCGAAACCCGGUUCAAACCAGGGACCUUUAGAUCUUCAGUCUAACGCUCUCCCAACUGAGCUAUUUCGGC